Molecule: long non-coding RNA, 667 nt
Filed under: Triticum aestivum (bread wheat)
Lineage: Eukaryota; Viridiplantae; Streptophyta; Magnoliopsida; Poales; Poaceae
Description: long non-coding RNA (TAES_LNC002802)
Source: RNAcentral
GAUGAGUAGCGGCUCCGCUUCAUUGAUAUUAUUUGUUAGUGAUGCCAUUUUCUCGACGGGUUUAUAUGGCCUUAACUGUUGUUGAGUACUUGUGUUCUCCGAUGUAUGUUCUAUUACAUUGUCACUUAUAUGUCAACUUGAUUAGACUUUCAUUUGACCCACUUUUAUUUGAUUUAAUUUUAGGCAACCUCAUGUUUAGUUUUGUUUUAAAGUAUAUUUUGUUAUUCUGAUAUGCAGGCUUGUUAAAAUUUAAGAAUUUUGGACAACACAUAAUUUAUUUUUGAAGUUUGUUCUUAUUCUUUUAUUUCUACUAUCUACUAUCUAAUGUUGUAAAUAUGUUAGGUAUGAUUGGGUAGCAGGCUUCUUGGUGCUGGCCAACACAAUCUGCCAUGACAUGAUACUUACCAUCAGGAGGGGCGACGACAAGAACCUGAAUAGCAGCCUCAAUAGUAUCAUAUUUUCUGUUGUUGUAAUUGGAUUGUACUGGUUCCUAGCGUUGUUGUGUGAUAUAUUUUGUCAAUAUAUUCUGUAAAUUACCAUUUCAUGGAGGAUUUUGUAAACUGAUGUGGUGUAGAUACCAAUAGAUGGUUGCAUAUUGAAUAUCCGUGUAAUGUAUGAUCACACUUUGGAAAUGCUUCGUCUUGGCCUAGAGUUGGUAUUAUGAUUU